GUUAUAUGGUCAAGUGAAGAAGCGCAUACGGUGGAUGCCUUGGCAGUCAGAGGCGAUGAAAGACGUGGUAGCCUGCGAAAAGCUUCGGGGAGUCGGCAAACAGACUUUGAUCCGGAGAUCUCUGAAUGGGGGAACCCACCUAGGAUAACCUAGGUAUCUUGUACUGAAUCCAUAGGUGCAAGAGGCGAACCAGGGGAACUGAAACAUCUAAGUACCCUGAGGAAAAGAAAUCAACCGAGAUUCCCUUAGUAGUGGCGAGCGAACGGGGAUUAGCCCUUAAGCUUCAUUGAUUUUAGCGGAACGCUCUGGAAAGUGCGGCCAUAGUGGGUGAUAGCCCGUACGCGAAAGGAUCUUUGAAGUGAAAUCGAGUAGGACGGAGCACGAGAAACUUUGUCUGAACAUGGGGGGACCAUCCUCCAAGGCUAAAUACUACUGACUGACCGAUAGUGAACCAGUACCGUGAGGGAAAGGCGAAAAGAACCCCGGAGAGGGGAGUGAAAUAGAACCUGAAACCGUAUGCGUACAAGCAGUGGGAGCCUACUUGUUAGGUGACUGCGUACCUUUUGUAUAAUGGGUCAGCGACUUAUAUUCAGUGGCAAGCUUAACCGUAUAGGGUAGGCGUAGCGAAAGCGAGUCUUAAUAGGGCGUUUAGUCGCUGGGUAUAGACCCGAAACCGGGCGAUCUAUCCAUGAGCAGGUUGAAGGUUAGGUAACACUGACUGGAGGACCGAACCCACUCCCGUUGAAAAGGUAGGGGAUGACUUGUGGAUCGGAGUGAAAGGCUAAUCAAGCUCGGAGAUAGCUGGUUCUCCUCGAAAGCUAUUUAGGUAGCGCCUCAUGUAUCACUCUGGGGGGUAGAGCACUGUUUCGGCUAGGGGGUCAUCCCGACUUACCAAACCGAUGCAAACUCCGAAUACCCAGAAGUGCCGAGCAUGGGAGACACACGGCGGGUGCUAACGUCCGUCGUGAAAAGGGAAACAACCCAGACCGCCAGCUAAGGUCCCAAAGUUGUGGUUAAGUGGUAAACGAUGUGGGAAGGCUUAGACAGCUAGGAGGUUGGCUUAGAAGCAGCCACCCUUUAAAGAAAGCGUAAUAGCUCACUAGUCGAGUCGGCCUGCGCGGAAGAUGUAACGGGGCUCAAACCACACACCGAAGCUGCGGGUGUCACGUAAGUGACGCGGUAGAGGAGCGUUCUGUAAGCCUGUGAAGGUGAGUUGAGAAGCUUGCUGGAGGUAUCAGAAGUGCGAAUGCUGACAUGAGUAACGACAAUGGGUGUGAAAAACACCCACGCCGAAAGACCAAGGGUUCCUGCGCAACGUUAAUCGACGCAGGGUUAGUCGGUUCCUAAGGCGAGGCUGAAAAGCGUAGUCGAUGGGAAACAGGUUAAUAUUCCUGUACUUCUGGUUACUGCGAUGGAGGGACGGAGAAGGCUAGGCCAGCUUGGCGUUGGUUGUCCAAGUUUAAGGUGGUAGGCUGAAAUCUUAGGUAAAUCCGGGUUUCAAGGCCGAGAGCUGAUGACGAGUCGUCUUUUAGAUGACGAAGUGGUUGAUGCCAUGCUUCCAAGAAAAGCUUCUAAGCUUCAGGUAACCAGGAACCGUACCCCAAACCGACACAGGUGGUCGGGUAGAGAAUACCAAGGCGCUUGAGAGAACUCGGGUGAAGGAACUAGGCAAAAUGGCACCGUAACUUCGGGAGAAGGUGCGCCGGCUAGGGUGAAGGAUUUACUCCGUAAGCUCUGGCUGGUCGAAGAUACCAGGCCGCUGCGACUGUUUAUUAAAAACACAGCACUCUGCAAACACGAAAGUGGACGUAUAGGGUGUGACGCCUGCCCGGUGCCGGAAGGUUAAUUGAUGGGGUUAGCGCAAGCGAAGCUCUUGAUCGAAGCCCCGGUAAACGGCGGCCGUAACUAUAACGGUCCUAAGGUAGCGAAAUUCCUUGUCGGGUAAGUUCCGACCUGCACGAAUGGCGUAACGAUGGCGGCGCUGUCUCCACCCGAGACUCAGUGAAAUUGAAAUCGCUGUGAAGAUGCAGUGUAUCCGCGGCUAGACGGAAAGACCCCGUGAACCUUUACUGUAGCUUUGCACUGGACUUUGAGCCUGCUUGUGUAGGAUAGGUGGGAGGCUUUGAAGCGUGGACGCCAGUUCGCGUGGAGCCAUCCUUGAAAUACCACCCUGGCAUGCUUGAGGUUCUAACUCUGGUCCGUGAUCCGGAUCGAGGACAGUGUAUGGUGGGCAGUUUGACUGGGGCGGUCUCCUCCUAAAGAGUAACGGAGGAGUACGAAGGUGCGCUCAGACCGGUCGGAAAUCGGUCGCAGAGUAUAAAGGCAAAAGCGCGCUUGACUGCGAGACAGACACGUCGAGCAGGUACGAAAGUAGGUCUUAGUGAUCCGGUGGUUCUGUAUGGAAGGGCCAUCGCUCAACGGAUAAAAGGUACUCCGGGGAUAACAGGCUGAUACCGCCCAAGAGUUCAUAUCGACGGCGGUGUUUGGCACCUCGAUGUCGGCUCAUCACAUCCUGGGGCUGAAGCCGGUCCCAAGGGUAUGGCUGUUCGCCAUUUAAAGUGGUACGCGAGCUGGGUUUAGAACGUCGUGAGACAGUUCGGUCCCUAUCUGCCGUGGACGUUUGAGAUUUGAGAGGGGCUGCUCCUAGUACGAGAGGACCGGAGUGGACGAACCUCUGGUGUUCCGGUUGUCACGCCAGUGGCAUUGCCGGGUAGCUAUGUUCGGAAAAGAUAACCGCUGAAAGCAUCUAAGCGGGAAACUUGCCUCAAGAUGAGAUCUCACUGGGAACUUGAUUCCCCUGAAGGGCCGUCGAAGACUACGACGUUGAUAGGCUGGGUGUGUAAGCGUUGUGAGGCGUUGAGCUAACCAGUACUAAUUGCCCGUGAGGCUUGACCAUAUAACACCCAAACA
RNAcentral lists this ribosomal RNA (2910 nucleotides) under Pseudomonas aeruginosa. Its description in RNAcentral is "bacterial LSU rRNA". It matches the Rfam family "Bacterial large subunit ribosomal RNA". The record is from RNAcentral. Lineage: Bacteria; Pseudomonadati; Pseudomonadota; Gammaproteobacteria; Pseudomonadales; Pseudomonadaceae.